UAACACAUGCAAGUCGAACGAAGCAUUAAGCGGAGACUUCGGUCAAAGUCGUUUUAUGACUUAGUGGCGGACGGGUGAGUAACACGUGAGUAACCUGCCUCUCAGUGGGGAAUAACACACCGAAAGGUGUGCUAAUACCGCAUAAUGCAGUUGGGUCGCAUGGCUCUGACUGCCAAAGAUUUAUCGCUCUUAGAUGGACUCGCGUCUGAUUAGCUAGUUGGCGGGGUAACGGCCCACCAAGGCGACGAUCAGUAGCCGGACUGAGAGGUUGGCCGGCCACAUUGGGACUGAGACACGGCCCAAACUCCUACGGGAGGCAGCAGUGGGGAAUAUUGCACAAUGGGGGAAACCCUGAUGCAGCAACGCCGCGUGAAGGAUGAAGGUUUUCGGAUCGUAAACUUCUAUCAACAGGGAAGAAACAAAUGACGGUACCUUACGAGGAAGCCACGGCUAACUACGUG
This 461-nucleotide ribosomal RNA is filed under the name uncultured bacterium. RNAcentral describes it as "bacterial SSU rRNA". It matches the Rfam family "Bacterial small subunit ribosomal RNA", at positions 49 to 507 of the family's 1533-position model. The record is from RNAcentral.